RNAcentral lists this ribosomal RNA (314 nucleotides) under uncultured bacterium. RNAcentral's name for it is "bacterial SSU rRNA". It matches the Rfam family "Bacterial small subunit ribosomal RNA", at positions 28 to 334 of the family's 1533-position model. The record is from RNAcentral.
GAUGAACGCUAGCUACAGGCUUAACACAUGCAAGUCGAGGGGCAGCAUGGGCUUAGCUUGCUAAGCCCGAUGGCGACCGGCGCACGGGUGAGUAACACGUAUCCAACCUUCCGGUAACUCCGGUAUAGCCUUUCGAAAGAAAGAUUAAUCCCGGAUAGUAUGGUGAUCCCGCAUGGUUCCUCCAUUAAAGGAUUCAGGUUACCGAUGGGGAUGCGUUCCAUUAGGCAGUUGGCGGGGUAACGGCCCACCAAACCUACGAUGGAUAGGGGUUCUGAGAGGAAGGUCCCCCACAUUGGAACUGAGACACGGUCCAA